Molecule: long non-coding RNA, 435 nt
Filed under: Vigna radiata
Lineage: Eukaryota; Viridiplantae; Streptophyta; Magnoliopsida; Fabales; Fabaceae
Description: long non-coding RNA (VRAD_LNC002525)
Source: RNAcentral
UCUUUAGAUUUUCGUUUUGAAGGUUGAAUGCUUGAGUUUGAAGCUUCUUCUUUGCUUUUUCAUGGUGGUUUCUUUGGUGGAAGGGAGACCCAUUGUCCAUUUCGGUUUUCUCCUCAUUUUGCUGCAGUAAUCUCGUUUUUACUUUGAGUUUCUUGGAUUGGAGGAUGAAAAUGGAGUUGUUGUCAAGUUUGGUAGUGAAAAAGGCUUAAGUUGGUGCAUGGGUAUUGUAUUCUUGAGCCAUUUUCUUCUAGCAUUUUGUUUUUUGAUGUUGGGAAACAAAUUUUGAGCUGGACUUUGUGCUUGAUGAUGGUGGCUGGACGGUAUUGCAUAGGAAGCAUAGGGGUUUGGUUUUAUUUGGGUCAAAAAGUUGAAGAAAAAUGUGUUUUGAAGUUGAAUUUAUGAAGGUAGAACUUGGUUUUAUUGUUCUUGAAUCAU